RNAcentral lists this transfer RNA (90 nucleotides) under Anaerolineae bacterium. Its description in RNAcentral is "tRNA-Ser". It matches the Rfam family "tRNA". Rfam says of the family: Transfer RNA (tRNA) molecules are approximately 80 nucleotides in length. Their secondary structure includes four short double-helical elements and three loops (D, anti-codon, and T loops). Lineage: Bacteria; Bacillati; Chloroflexota; Anaerolineae. The record is from RNAcentral.
GGAGGGAUGGCAGAGCGGACGAUUGCGACGGUCUUGAAAACCGUUGUGGGGGCAACCCCACCGGGGGUUCGAAUCCCUCUCCCUCCGCCA